This 26-nucleotide ribosomal RNA is filed under the name Pestalotiopsis photiniae. RNAcentral describes it as "partial 28S ribosomal RNA". The record is from RNAcentral. Lineage: Eukaryota; Fungi; Ascomycota; Sordariomycetes; Amphisphaeriales; Sporocadaceae.
UUGACCUCGGAUCAGGUAGGAUACCC